AUAGUUUUACAAGUAUCAUCAUCAUGGUGCUAUUAGGUUUUAAGCCAUUGGAUCUACUUUUUUAUUAUUAAUAGCCCUUGGAUUAAACACUAUUCCACCUACCACCACCUACCACCAUCAUCUCAACCUCACAUCUCUCCAUCCAAAGGCUAAAAACACACAAGCAUCACCCCUAUGAUACUUUUACAAGUAUUCUAGCCCUACUCUAAUUAGACUGGAAUAUUAUUAAUAGUAUCAAUAACUUUGUGCUAUUAAGUUUUCCGCUCUUAGAUUAAAAGAUGUGUGGUUAGGAUGAUGUGGGCCCUCUAGGGGUUUAGUAGGUGGUUGGUUGAAUAGUGUAAUCGAACGGAUGAAAAUGAUAAAAAAGAUAAAUCUAAUGGCAGAAAACUUGAUAGCACCAAAUGCUUAAUGCUAUCGAUAAUAUCCCAGUGGGACUAUAUAUAUAUAUAUAUAGAGUUGAGCUAGAAUACUAUCGAUAGCAAACGGACUCCGUUGCCACCCAUUUGUUUUUGAUGAUAGAGCCUCUAAAUCGACGAUCAGCAACGUUGAAUAUGAUCUAUACCGUAUGAAGUGUUUAGAAAUCAAAUUUCACACAUUUUCGAUAUUGUUAUCUUAUCCAUCGAGUGGAUACAAAAAUGAACGGUUGAAAAUGAAUAUUCUUUAAAAAAUGAUGAUAGGAGCCUUGUAAUCAAGAUCAAGAGUAUAGAUCUUGUUUUAAACAGUUUAAAGAAUUUUCUAACAAAAAAUCAAUUGAUUUGGAUAUCUUUACGCCGUUAAACGAGAAAACGACUCAUAUCGACCAUUAAAAUUACAAAUUUUGAAACCCUUUGAUCAUUAGGCAAAUGAUGUCGAAAAGAUUUGAAAUUUGAUUUCUAAACACUUAAUGUAGUAUAGAUCAUGUUCAACGGUGCCGAUCGUUGAUUUAGAGACUCUAUCAUCAAAAACAAAUUGGUGUCAACGGAGCCCGUUUGCUAUCGAUAGUAUUCUAGCUCAACUCUAUAUAUAUAUAUAUAGAGUGCGGCUAUGAUGCUUAUGGAAGCACGGGGGGCUUCGUGCUUCCACUUUGUUUUCGAUGUUCGGACUUUCGAAUCGAUGAUCGGCUCCGUUAGACUUGAUCUAGAGUAUUUGAAGUAUCUAGAAAAUAAAUUUUGCGAUUUUUCGAUAUCAUUUGCCUAGUGAUCGAAAUGGCUCAAAAUCAACGGCUGAAAAACUAAAAAGCUUACAAAGUUAUGAUGAUAUGACUAUUAAUAAUAUUCCAGAUCAAAGUUAUUGAUCUUGUUUUAUAUGGUAUAAAGAAUUUUCUAUCAAAAUUUCAUGUGAUUUGAAUAUUUCUACACCAUUAAACUUGCAACCGGCUCACCACGGCCAUUAAAAUUAUUGAUUUUGAGCCCCUUCGAUUACUAGGCAAAUGAUAUCGAAAAAUUACAAAAUUUAUUUUUUAGGUAUUUCAAAUACUCUAGAUCAACUCUAACGAAGCCGAUCGUCGAAUCGAAAGUCCGAAUAUCGAAAACAACUUGGAAGCACGGAGGGCUCCGUGCUUCCAUAAGCAUACUAGCCCACUAUAUAUAUAUAUAUAUAUAUAUAUAUAUAUAGAGUAUGGCUAGAAUACUUGUAAAAGUAUCAUGGGUGUGAUACUUGUGUGUUUUUAGCCCUUGGAUGGAGAUAUGUGAGGUUGAGAUGAUGGUGGUAGGUGGUGGUAGGUGGUGGUAGGUGGAAUAGUAUUUCAUCCAAGAGUUAUUAAUAAUCAAAAAGUAGAUCCAAUGGCUUAAAACCUAAUAGCACCAUGAUGGUGAUACUUGUAAAAGUAUCAUAGCUCAACUCUAUAUAUAUAAAGAUUUGAAAUUUGAUUUCUAAACACUUCAAGUGGUAUAGAUCAUGUUUAACGGAGCCGAUCGUCAAUUUGGAAGCUCUAUCAUCAAAAACAAAUCGGCAGUAAAACGGCUCGUUUACUACCGAUAGUAUUCUAGCUCAACUCUAUAUAUAUAUAUAUAUAUAUAUAUAGGGUCCGGCUACUAUCCUAUUAAUAGGAUUGGGACCCUUGUCCUAUCAAGUCGAUUUGAAUGAUCGGAACUUCAAAUUGAUAAUCGGCACCGUUGAAGUUGAUCUACACAAUUAGAAAUGUUUAGAAACCAAAUUUGGUAAUAUUUAAAAAUCAUUAUCAAGUUUAUCUUAAGAGUUGAAAAAUGAACGGUCAUAAAUAAAUAACCUACUUAAAAUAGAGGUUAGACUUUCUCAAUUCGUAAUCAGAGUUAUCAAACAUUAUCUAAAUAGUAUAAAGAAUUUUCUAUCAAAAAUUCAAGCAAUUUGGAUUGCUCUACACCGUUAAACAAGCAAACGGCUCAUAUAGGCCGUUAAAAAUUGUCGAUUUUACGACACUUUGAUCACUAUGUAAACCAUUAUCAAAAUUUAUGAAAUUUAGUUUCUAGAUAUUUCAAAUACUCUAGAUCAACUUCAACGGCUCCGAUCAUCGAUUCAGAAUCUUGAUCAUCAAGAACAACUUGAUAGGACAAGUGCUCCUAUCCUAUUAAUAGGAUAGUAGCAUUAGCCUAUAUAUAUAUAUAUAUAUAUAUAUAUAUAUAUAGAUAUAUAGAUAUAUAUAUAGAACUAUAUUUUAAUCCUAUUGAAAAUAAGCCAGGAAAUAAAAAGUUAAAUUUCUCCUGUUUGUCUUAUUGUCUUUUAAGACUUUAAAUACAUAUAAUAUAUAGAGUUGAGUUAGAAUACUUGUAAAAGUAUUAUGUGAGUGGUGCUUUUGAAUUUUUAGCCAUUGGAUGGAGAGAUGUGAGGUUGAUAUGACGGUGGUAGGUGGUGGUAGGUGGUGGUAGGUGGAAUAGUAUUUGAUCCAAAGACUAUUAGUAAAGUAAUCAAGGAGCAGAUCCAAUGGCUAAAAACCUAAUAGCAUCAUUGGGGUAGUACUUGUAAAAGUAUUCUAGCUCAAUUCUAAUAUAUAAACAUAUUUUCAGGAACAAAG
This 2968-nucleotide long non-coding RNA is filed under the name Ananas comosus (pineapple). RNAcentral describes it as "long non-coding RNA (ACOM_LNC033818)". The record is from RNAcentral. Lineage: Eukaryota; Viridiplantae; Streptophyta; Magnoliopsida; Poales; Bromeliaceae.